Molecule: non-coding RNA, 646 nt
Organism: Danio rerio (zebrafish)
Lineage: Eukaryota; Metazoa; Chordata; Actinopteri; Cypriniformes; Danionidae
Source: Ensembl
CAUGUCCCCUGCAACAGAAAAAAAAACCCUCUCAUUUGGGACUGAGGUUUCUGGGACAGAGAGAUAUGAUUUAGCCAAGGUUGACAGCAGUGGGUAACUUUGUGCAUUGUCUUUCCACCAAUUGAGAGGACAAGCCAUGAGUGAGAUAGAGGUCUCUUUGCGGUACAAGCUAAUGUCUGCAUCAAUCUAACAAGUGUGCUGUGUUCUGCAGUCCCCAUGCCUGUUUUUAGUCGUAUUCCCCGACUUAUAUUUCACCACAGUCUGGCAGUGCCUGCAUACCGUUUUUUUCUUUGUCUGUCACCUUUUCUCCUUUUUCGUAUCUUUUUAGAAAGAAACCGAAAUGCUUCCACACAUCCGAUUUAAAACCCGCUUUAGGUUCGAUUAUUUCCAGCUCUUUUUCUUCCCUGCUACUAGCAACACACUCCACUUCCGCAUUACUGGAUCUGUAGUGACAACAGACCGCAAAGGAUGAUGGCCACGCCUGGGCUGAUGGGGAUUGUAGUUCCCGCUACCUCCCGUUCGCUUCAUUCGCCUAAGCAAACUUUUCUCAGGAAUAUAGAUUUAUUGAGUCAUGCGCCUACGGUAAUAUUGAAAAAAAUGACUAUUGCGGUAUGACGGUAUUUACAAUAUUGUUACAUCCCUAUUA